This 1191-nucleotide ribosomal RNA is filed under the name metagenome. RNAcentral's name for it is "eukaryotic LSU rRNA". It matches the Rfam family "Eukaryotic large subunit ribosomal RNA", at positions 2134 to 3231 of the family's 3401-position model. The record is from RNAcentral.
CCGACUGUUUAAUUAAAACAAAGCAUUGUGAUGGUCAUAUGUGAUGUUUACACAAUGUGAUUUCUGCCCAGUGCUCUGAAUGUAAAUAUGGUGAAAACCUUUCAAGCGCGGGUAAACGGCGGGAGUAACUAUGACUCUCUUAAGGUAGCCAAAUGCCUCGUCAUCUAACUGUGACGCGCAUGAAUGGAUUAACGAGAUUCCAACUGUCCCUAUCUACUAUCUAGCGAACCUACAGCUUCGGGAACGGGCGAGGAAUAAUUAGCGGGGCAAGAAGACCCUGUUGAGCUUGACUCUAGUCAGAAAUUGUGAAAUGAUGCUAAAGGUAUAGUAUAGGUGGGAGGGAGAAAUCCCGAUCUUGAAAUACCACUACUUUGGACGUUGUUUUACUUAUUUAAUUACGUAGAAAUAUUGAACCUAGUUCAAUUUAAUUCUUGUAUAAAAUAAUCUAUAUAUGUAUAUAAUUAGGCUCAUUUUUUGCUUAUAUAUUGAAUUUAUUUAAUAUAUUUGAAUUAAAUGUAGUUGUGGUUAUUUACCUCUGUGAUUAUGAUCCUAAGUUAAAAACAUUUUCCGGUGGGGAGUUUGGCUGGGGCGGCACAUUUGUUACAGAAUAACACAAGUGUCCAAAGGGUAACUCAAUGAGAACAGAAAUCUCAUGUAGAGCAAAAAGGCAAAAGUUACCUUGAUUUUGAUUUUCCGUAAGAAUACAAACUGUGAAAGCAUGGCUUAUCGAUCCUUUAGAAAUUCAGGAUCUGAAACUAGAGGUGUCAGAAAAGUUACCACAGGGAUAACUGGCUUGUGGCGUCCAAGAGUCCAAAUCGACGACGCUUUUUGAUCCUUCGAUGUCGGCUCUUCCUAUCAUUGUGAAGCAGAAUUCACCAAGUGUCGGAUUGUUCACCCGUUAAAAGGGAACGUGAGCUGGGAUUAGACCGUCGUGAGACAGGUUAGUUUUACCCUACUAAUGAUAUAAAUACGUUAUAACAGUAAUUCAAUUUAGUACGAGAGGAACCGUUGAUUCAGACCUCUAGUAAUGCAAUUGCUUGAACAAGCAUUGUUGCAAAGCCACGUCUGUUUUGAUUAUGGCUGGAAGCCUCUAAGCCAGAAUCAAAGCUGAAAAUAAUGUAUUGUUCUUACUAUGCAAGUGCAAAAAUAGUAUAAAAUUUAUUUUAUACCAACACCAUUCCCUGUGUUUGU